AGCUUGCUGGGUGGAUUAGUGGCGAACGGGUGAGUAACACGUGAGUAACCUGCCCUUGACUCUGGGAUAAGCCCGGGAAACUGGGUCUAAUACUGGAUAUUCAGCUGCUAUCGCAUGGUGGUGGUUGGAAAGGGAUUGACUGGUCAAGGAUGGACUCGCGGCCUAUCAGCUUGUUGGUGGGGUAAUGGCCUACCAAGGCGACGACGGGUAGCCGGCCUGAGAGGGUGACCGGCCACACUGGGACUGAGACACGGCCCAGACUCCUACGGGAGGCAGCAGUGGGGAAUAUUGCACAAUGGGCGCAAGCCUGAUGCAGCGACGCCGCGUGAGGGAUGACGGCCUUCGGGUUGUAAACCUCUUUCAGUAGGGAAGAAGCGAGAGUGACGGUACCUGCAGAAGAAGCGCCGGCUAACUACGUGCCAGCAGCCGCGGUAAUACGUAGGGCGCAAGCGUUAUCCGGAAUUAUUGGGCGUAAAGAGCUCGUAGGCGGUUUGUCGCGUCUGCCGUGAAAGUCCGGGGCUCAACCCCGGAUCUGCGGUGGGUACGGGCAGACUAGAGUGCUGUAGGGGAGACUGGAAUUCCUGGUGUAGCGGUGAAAUGCGCAGAUAUCAGGAGGAACACCGAUGGCGAAGGCAGGUCUCUGGGCAGUAACUGACGCUGAGGAGCGAAAGCAUGGGGAGCGAACAGGAUUAGAUACCCUGGUAGUCCAUGCCGUAAACGUUGGGCACUAGAUGUGGGGGACAUUCCACGUUUUCCGCGUCGUAGCUAACGCAUUAAGUGCCCCGCCUGGGGAGUACGGCCGCAAGGCUAAAACUCAAAGGAAUUGACGGGGGCCCGCACAAGCGGCGGAGCAUGCGGAUUAAUUCGAUGCAACGCGAAGAACCUUACCAAGGCUUGACAUGGACCGGACCGCUCUGGAAA
RNAcentral lists this ribosomal RNA (921 nucleotides) under Actinomycetes bacterium. RNAcentral's name for it is "bacterial SSU rRNA". It matches the Rfam family "Bacterial small subunit ribosomal RNA", at positions 77 to 1006 of the family's 1533-position model. Lineage: Bacteria; Bacillati; Actinomycetota; Actinomycetes. The record is from RNAcentral.